Molecule: long non-coding RNA, 1347 nt
Filed under: Olea europaea subsp. europaea
Lineage: Eukaryota; Viridiplantae; Streptophyta; Magnoliopsida; Lamiales; Oleaceae
Source: RNAcentral
GUUUAUUGAAUCAAAUGCCCAAAUCAUGAAAUCAACCAAUCCCAUUUCUGAUUUUUCCCAAAUCGUAGAACGCUGCUGCCUACUGGAAGUCUGCAAAAGCCCUUUUCCAAUUUCUUCAAUUUUCCUUCGCCACAAUCGUCCCUGCCCUGCGCGGCUGCACUGGCCACAUAGUACACAUGAGAAACGACAGUGUCGCUUGCCAGAUUGCUGGUUCGCCCUACUCAAAUAUGGUCGAUUUUUAUAUUCUUGUAUAGUUUAUCUUUGUGACUCUGUGUGUUUGUUUAAUGGGUUAAUUUUAUUUGGUGCUUAAUAGCUUAAGUAAUGUAAAAUAAUGUAAAAUUUGUCUCUAAAAUUUGGAUUUAAAGGUUUUUUCUGACCCCGAUUCACGUCACAUGUAAGUGUAAUUAUAACUCAUAAGUUCACCAAAUUGUUUUCACUUUUCAGUGUCUAUUGACUAUUAUGAUUUAUGUAUUUAAUUAGAAAUGGGUUUUUUGCCCAAAUUUGUAUUAUGUAUUUAAUUAGCAAGUACAAUGGUUCACUGGGUCGGAUUAGUUUUGGUCUAACACUUCCUCUUCUGACUUGUUCUGCCCAAAUUUUUUCACUAUAAUGAACGAGAAAAUAGGUCUGUACCUGCACACGAGAGUGACAAGACACUCCUUCCUUCGCCCGUUCGCCGUUUCGUUGCCUCUUUGUAUAAUAGUAUGUGCCAAGUGCUAACUGCUAAAUUGGAAAUUUUAAUUUUAUUGUAUGUGUUAACUGCUGAACACCAUGUUUAAAAUUAAGGGUAUCAACUUGGCGUGAAAUUGACAUCUCCCCAUAGACACUGAUAGAGUGUCCAAAUUUGGAGCAGAAUCGCAGAAUUCUUUGUCCACUUGGCGACCAAGUUCUUUGGUUCGAGCCAAUAUUAAUGCCAAAGGAUUCCUUUCUCAGGUCAGUGACUUAAGUUAAUGUUAACUAUGUUAUGAUUUAUUUAUUUGGGAAUUAAAAAUUUGCGAAUUGUGAUUUAUGAAUUAUGAUAAGUAAUUUAUGUUUUAUGAGUUAUGAUUAUUGAUUCGAGAAAAUUGUGAUUUAUGAUUAGUAAUUUAUGUUUUGACGAGGAAUGAUUAAUGAUUUGGGAAUUUAUGUUUACAAAUUUAUGUUUGUGAAUUUGAUUUCUGAUAAGUAAUUUAUGUUUUGUAAUUGAAAAAUAAAUUGGGGCAUUUUGCAGUAAUGGAACGAUUUUUUCAACUAAAACGAAAGUCCAUACCCAAUUCUUCUACUUCUAGUUGUGCAUCUAGUCCUGCCACGGAUUCUAGUCGAGCACAAGAGUUAUUGAAUAACACAAAGAAGUCUGGGGCUCAAUUCAAU